AAUAUUGGGACAUAUAAAAAAAGACAACUCUGUUCCGCAGAGUAGCUGUUGACAUUAUAGUUGCGCAGGAACUUUGUUGACUCUAGAGAACCUCAGGCAAAUCGCACAUCCCCCAUGGUGGCGACUUUGCAUGCAGAUGUCAUCCAUAUCAACUUUCGAUGACAGUUUCUGCACCUACCAUGGUGACCACGGGUAACGGGGAAAUUGGUUUCCAUUCCAUAAAGGGACCCUGAGAAACGACUACUACAUGCAAGGAAGGCAGUAGGCGCGCAAAUGACCCACUCCCGACGCGGGAAGGUAGUGA
RNAcentral lists this ribosomal RNA (304 nucleotides) under Pelobates cultripes (western spadefoot toad). RNAcentral describes it as "SSU_rRNA_microsporidia". It matches the Rfam family "Eukaryotic small subunit ribosomal RNA", at positions 166 to 470 of the family's 1831-position model. Lineage: Eukaryota; Metazoa; Chordata; Amphibia; Anura; Pelobatidae. The record is from RNAcentral.